Molecule: long non-coding RNA, 899 nt
Filed under: Homo sapiens (human)
Lineage: Eukaryota; Metazoa; Chordata; Mammalia; Primates; Hominidae
Description: long non-coding RNA NONHSAT199089.1
Source: RNAcentral
GACUUACCAAUUGACUCUGCUGUGUUUGACAGAUGGGAAUUGUAGUCGUAACAUUGGAUGAAAUAGGAAAGACAGAGUAGUAGAGCUCUUUGGAGGAUCCUCCAUCUCAGGAAGGCCCCAGUAUUGCCAGGCUGGGAGAAACCCAAGCCAUGAGGAUAGACCAUGAAUAGGAGUUCUGGUUGACAAUCCCAGUUCACUCCCAGCUUCAAAUACACAAGGCCAAGUGCCAGAUACGGGCAUAAAAAGCAAUUUUGGAAGUGGACACUCCAGUCCCAGCUGUCCUUCCCAGCUGAGGCCUCAUCAUUGAGGUGCAGAAAAGGGGCAUGCCCAUUGUGCCUGUUUCUAAAUUCCUGACCCACAGAACCUGUGAGCAUAAUACAAGUUUACUAUUUUAUACCAGUAAUCAGCAAUACAACUGGGAUUUGAUAUCAGAUUCAUGCGAUUCCGAAGACCCUGACCACCAAAUGCAAAAGGAGAGUGGGGUGCUGGUGAAAACAUAUCCAAAAAUGUGGAAGCGACGUUGGAACUGGGUAACAGGCAGAGGUUGGAACAGUUUGGAGGACUCAGAAGAAGACAGGAAAAUGUGGCCAAGUUUGGAACUUCCUAGAGACUUGCUGAAUGGCUUUGAACAAAAUGCUGACAGUGAUAUGGACGAUGAAAUCCAGGCUAGGUGGUCUCAGCUGGUGAUAAGGAACUUGUUGGGAACCGGAGUAAAGGUGAGUCUUGCAAACACACUGGUGGCAUUUUGCCCGGCCCUAUAGAUUUGUAGAACUUUGAACUUGAGAGACAUGAUUUAGGGUAUCUGGCAGAAGAAAUUUCUAAGCAGGAAAGCACUUACGAUGUGACUUCGGUGCUGUUGAAAGCAUUCAGUUUUAUAAGGCAAGCAGAGCAUAAAAAUU